GAGUAAUGUCUGGGAAACUGCCUGAUGGAGGGGGAUAACUACUGGAAACGGUGGCUAAUACCGCAUAACGUCGCAAGACCAAAGAGGGGGACCUUCGGGCCUCUUGCCAUCAGAUGUGCCCAGAUGGGAUUAGCUUGUUGGUGAGGUAACGGCUCACCAAGGCGACGAUCCCUAGCUGGUCUGAGAGGAUGACCAGCCACACUGGAACUGAGACACGGUCCAGACUCCUACGGGAGGCAGCAGUGGGGAAUAUUGCACAAUGGGCGCAAGCCUGAUGCAGCCAUGCCGCGUGUAUGAAGAAGGCCUUCGGGUUGUAAAGUACUUUCAGCGGGGAGGAAGGUGUUGUGGUUAAUAACCGCAGCAAUUGACGUUACCCGCAGAAGAAGCACCGGCUAACUCCGUGCCAGCAGCCGCGGUAAUACGGAGGGUGCAAGCGUUAAUCGGAAUUACUGGGCGUAAAGCGCACGCAGGCGGUCUGUCAAGUCGGAUGUGAAAUCCCCGGGCUCAACCUGGGAACUGCAUUCGAAACU
RNAcentral lists this ribosomal RNA (530 nucleotides) under Salmonella enterica. RNAcentral's name for it is "partial 16S ribosomal RNA". It matches the Rfam family "Bacterial small subunit ribosomal RNA", at positions 108 to 634 of the family's 1533-position model. RNAcentral also lists the same sequence under 1 other name. Lineage: Bacteria; Pseudomonadati; Pseudomonadota; Gammaproteobacteria; Enterobacterales; Enterobacteriaceae. The record is from RNAcentral.